AUUGAACGCUGGCGGCAUGCCUAACACAUGCAAGUCGAACGAGUGGCGGACGGGUGAGUAAUGUCUGGGAAAAUGCCUGAUGGAGGGGGAUAACUACUGGAAACGGUAGCUAAUACCGCAUACCAUCAGAUGUGCCCAGAUGGGAUGAGCUAGUUGGUGGGGUAACGUCUCACCAAGGCGACGAUCCCUAGCUGGUCUGAGAGGAUGACCAGCCACACUGGGACUUAGACACGGUCCAGACUCCUACGGGAGGCAGCAGUGGGGAAUAUUGCACAAUGGGGGCAAGCCUGAUGCAGCCAUGCCGCGUGUAUGAUGAAGGCCUUCGGGUUGUAAAGUACUAUCAGCGGGGAGGCGUUACCCGCAGAAGAAGCACCGGCUAACUCCGUGCCAGCCGCCGCGGUAAUUC
This 406-nucleotide ribosomal RNA is filed under the name uncultured bacterium. Its description in RNAcentral is "partial 16S ribosomal RNA". It matches the Rfam family "Bacterial small subunit ribosomal RNA", at positions 30 to 526 of the family's 1533-position model. The record is from RNAcentral.